RNAcentral lists this ribosomal RNA (468 nucleotides) under uncultured bacterium. RNAcentral's name for it is "partial 16S ribosomal RNA". It matches the Rfam family "Bacterial small subunit ribosomal RNA", at positions 28 to 507 of the family's 1533-position model. The record is from RNAcentral.
GACGAACGCUGGCGGCGUGCUUAACACAUGCAAGUCGAACGGAAAGGCCCUGCUUUUGUGGGGUGCUCGAGUGGCGAACGGGUGAGUAACACGUGAGUAACCUGCCCUUGACUUUGGGAUAACUUCAGGAAACUGGGGCUAAUACCGGAUAGGAGCUCCUGCUGCAUGGCGGGGGUUGGAAAGUUUCGGCGGUUGGGGAUGGACUCGCGGCUUAUCAGCUUGUUGGUGGGGUAGUGGCUUACCAAGGCUUUGACGGGUAGCCGGCCUGAGAGGGUGACCGGCCACAUUGGAACUGAGAUACGGCCCAGACUCCUACGGGAGGCAGCAGUGGGGAAUAUUGCACAAUGGGCGGAAGCCUGAUGCAGCAACGCCGCGUGCGGGAUGACGGCCUUCGGGUUGUAAACCGCUUUCGCCUGUGACGAAGCGUGAGUGACGGUAAUGGGUAAAGAAGCACCGGCUAACUACGUG